UCUACGGGGGGCAGCAGUGGGGAAUAUUGGGCAAUGGGCGCAAGCCUGACCCAGCAACGCCGCGUGAAGGAAGAAGGCUUUCGGGCUGUAAACUUGUUUUAUGAGGGACGAAGGAAGUGACGGUACCUCAUGAAUAAGCCACGGCUAACUACGUGCCAGCAGCCGCGGUAAUACGUAGGUGGCGAGCGUUAUCCGGAUUUACUGGGGGUAAAGGGCGUGUAGGCGGGAUUGCAAGUCAGAUGUGAAAAUUAUGGGCUCAACCCAUAGCCUGCAUUUGAAAAUGUAGUUCUUGAGUGCUGGAGAGGCAAUCGGAAUUCCGUGUGUAGCGGUGAAAUGCGUAGAUAUACGGAGGAACACCAGUGGCGAAGGCGGAUUGCUGGACAGUAACUGACGCUGAGGCGCGAAAGCGUGGGGAGCAAACAGGAUUAGAUACCCGUGUAGUC
This 443-nucleotide ribosomal RNA is filed under the name uncultured bacterium. RNAcentral's name for it is "partial 16S ribosomal RNA". It matches the Rfam family "Bacterial small subunit ribosomal RNA", at positions 338 to 795 of the family's 1533-position model. The record is from RNAcentral.